CCACCUAAUAUAGGCAAAAAUAAUGGGGAUUUAGUUACGUUAUGAUCAUACAUUGCAUAAGCCUGCCACAACGUCAAUGUAUUUGGGAGUCUAGCCAACUCCUUGGUUUUGCACCCCUCCCUGUUACAGGUGCCUCAUCUUAGGUCCCUAUUUAGCCUUGUAUUGCAGAGAGCCUCAGAUGUAAUUUUUUCCCCAAGUAAGUGAGUUAUACACAUAAGAGUAGACAUUAGACUGUGAGAGUAGGACCUGCCAAAGAUGGGGUACAUUGACGUUGUGGCAGGCUUAUGCAAUGUAUGAUCAUAUAAUGUAACUA
Pelobates cultripes (western spadefoot toad) is the source of this 313-nucleotide non-coding RNA. Lineage: Eukaryota; Metazoa; Chordata; Amphibia; Anura; Pelobatidae. The record is from the annotation of a GenBank genome assembly.